Molecule: ribosomal RNA, 1355 nt
Filed under: Petriella setifera
Lineage: Eukaryota; Fungi; Ascomycota; Sordariomycetes; Microascales; Microascaceae
Description: SSU rRNA
Rfam family: Eukaryotic small subunit ribosomal RNA
Source: RNAcentral
UAUUUAUUAGAUUAAAAGCCAACGCCCUUCGGGGCUUCGUGGUGAUUCAUGAUAACUUUUCGAAUCGCAUGGCCUUGCGCCGGCGAUGGUUCAUUCAAAUUUCUUCCCUAUCAACUUUCGAUGCGAAGGUCUUGUCUUCGCAUGGUUGCAACGGGUAACGGAGGGUUAGGGCUCGACCCCGGAGAAGGAGCNUGAGAAACGGCUACUACAUCCAAGGAAGGCAGCAGGCGCGCAAAUUACCCAAUCCCGACACGGGGAGGUAGUGACAAUAAAUACUGAUACAGGGCUCUUUUGGGUCUUGUAAUCGGAAUGAGUACAAUUUAAAUCCCUUAACGAGGAACAAUUGGAGGGCAAGUCUGGUGCCAGCAGCCGCGGUAAUUCCAGCUCCAAUAGCGUAUAUUAAAGUUGUUGUGGUUAAAAAGCUCGUAGUUGAACCUUGGGCCUGGCUGGCCGGUCCCCCUCACCGGGUGCACUGAUCCAGCCGGGCCUUUCCCUCUGUGGAACCCCAUGGCCUUCACUGGCCGUGGCGGGGAAACAGGACUUUUACUUUGAAAAAAUUAGAGUGCUCCAGGCAGGCCUAUGCUCGAAUACAUUAGCAUGGAAUAAUAGAAUAGGACGUGUGGUUCUAUUUUGUUGGUUUCUAGGACCGCCGUAAUGAUUAAUAGGGACAGUCGGGGGCAUCAGUAUUCAAUUGUCAGAGGUGAAAUUCUUGGAUCUAUUGAAGACUAACUACUGCGAAAGCAUUUGCCAAGGAUGUUUUCAUUGAUAAGGAACGAAAGUUAGGGGAUCGAAGACGAUCAGAUACCGUCGUAGUCUUAACUAUAAACUAUGCCGACUAGGGAUCGGACGAUGUUAUUUCUUGACGCGUUCGGCACCUUUCGAGAAAUCAAAGUGCUUGGGCUCCAGGGGGAGUAUGGUCGCAAGGCUGAAACUUAAAGAAAUUGACGGAAGGGCACCACCAGGGGUGGAACCUGCGGCUUAAUUUGACUCAACACGGGGAAACUCACCAGGUCCAGACACAGUGAGGAUUGACAGAUUGAGAGCUCUUUCUUGAUUCUGUGGGUGGUGGUGCAUGGCCGUUCUUAGUUGGUGGAGUGAUUUGUCUGCUUAAUUGCGAUAACGAACGAGACCUUAACCUGCUAAAUAGCCCGUACUGCUUUGGCAGUUCGCCGGCUUCUUAGAGGGACUAUCGGCUCAAGCCGAUGGAAGUUUGAGGCAAUAACAGGUCUGUGAUGCCCUUAGAUGUCCUGGGCCGCACGCGCGUUACACUGACAGAGCCAGCGAGUAUUUCCUUGGCCGGAAGGCCCGGGUAAUCUUGUUAAACUCUGUCGUGCUGGGGAUAGAGCAUGGCAAUU